AAGCUUGCUUUUUGCAAGUUAGUGGCGGACGGGUGAGUAACGCGUGAGCAACCUGCCUUGUAUUGUGGGAUAACACAGGGAAACUUGUGCUAAUACCGCAUGAGGCGCGGAUACCGCAUGGUAACUGCGUUAAAGAGAGAUUGAUGCAAGAUGGGCUCGCGUAUGAUUAGGUAGUUGGCGGGGCAACGGCCCACCAAGCCUACGAUCAUUAGCCGAACUGAGAGGUUGAACGGCCACAUUGGAACUGAGAAACGGUCCAGACUCC
RNAcentral lists this ribosomal RNA (265 nucleotides) under uncultured bacterium. RNAcentral's name for it is "partial 16S ribosomal RNA". It matches the Rfam family "Bacterial small subunit ribosomal RNA", at positions 76 to 339 of the family's 1533-position model. The record is from RNAcentral.